Molecule: transfer RNA, 70 nt
Filed under: Ictidomys tridecemlineatus (thirteen-lined ground squirrel)
Lineage: Eukaryota; Metazoa; Chordata; Mammalia; Rodentia; Sciuridae
Description: Spermophilus tridecemlineatus (thirteen-lined ground squirrel) tRNA
Rfam family: tRNA
About the family: Transfer RNA (tRNA) molecules are approximately 80 nucleotides in length. Their secondary structure includes four short double-helical elements and three loops (D, anti-codon, and T loops).
Source: Rfam by way of RNAcentral
GGAGUUGUAGCUCAGUGGUAGAGUGCUUACCUCGCAAGCAAUGAGACCCUGGGUUUGAUCCUCAACACCA